Molecule: ribosomal RNA, 3149 nt
Filed under: Streptomyces ambofaciens
Lineage: Bacteria; Bacillati; Actinomycetota; Actinomycetes; Kitasatosporales; Streptomycetaceae
Description: bacterial LSU rRNA
Rfam family: Bacterial large subunit ribosomal RNA
Source: RNAcentral
ACAGUGGACGCGAGCAUCUGUGGCCAAGUUUUUAAGGGCGCACGGUGGAUGCCUUGGCACCAGGAACCGAUGAAGGACGUGGGAGGCCACGAUAGUCCCCGGGGAGCCGUCAACCAGGCUUUGAUCCGGGGGUUUCCGAAUGGGGAAACCCGGCAGUCGUCAUGGGCUGUCACCCGCUGCUGAACACAUAGGCAGUGUGGAGGGAACGCGGGGAAGUGAAACAUCUCAGUACCCGCAGGAAGAGAAAACAACCGUGAUUCCGGGAGUAGUGGCGAGCGAAACCGGAUGAGGCCAAACCGUAUACGUGUGAGACCCGGCAGGGGUUGCGUGUGCGGGGUUGUGGGAUCUCUCUUUCACAGUCUGCCGGCUGUGAGGCGAGUCAGAAACCGUUGAUGUAGGCGAAGGACAUGCGAAAGGUCCGGCGUAGAGGGUAAGACCCCCGUAGUCGAAACAUCAGCGGCUCGUUUGAGAGACACCCAAGUAGCACGGGGCCCGAGAAAUCCCGUGUGAAUCUGGCGGGACCACCCGCUAAGCCUAAAUAUUCCCUGGUGACCGAUAGCGGAUAGUACCGUGAGGGAAUGGUGAAAAGUACCGCGGGAGCGGAGUGAAAUAGUACCUGAAACCGUGUGCCUACAAGCCGUGGGAGCGUCGGACAUCAAGCUUGCUUGGUGUCUCGUGACUGCGUGCCUUUUGAAGAAUGAGCCUGCGAGUUUGCGGUGUGUUGCGAGGUUAACCCGAGUGGGGAAGCCGUAGCGAAAGCGAGUCCGAAUAGGGCGUUUCAGUAGCACGCUCAAGACCCGAAGCGGAGUGAUCUAGCCAUGGGCAGGUUGAAGCGGAGGUAAGACUUCGUGGAGGACCGAACCCACCAGGGUUGAAAACCUGGGGGAUGACCUGUGGUUAGGGGUGAAAGGCCAAUCAAACUCCGUGAUAGCUGGUUCUCCCCGAAAUGCAUUUAGGUGCAGCGUCGUGUGUUUCUUGCCGGAGGUAGAGCACUGGAUAGGCGAUGGGCCCUACCGGGUUACUGACCUUAGCCAAACUCCGAAUGCCGGUAAGUGAGAGCGCGGCAGUGAGACUGUGGGGGAUAAGCUCCAUGGUCGAGAGGGAAACAGCCCAGAGCAUCGACUAAGGCCCCUAAGCGUACGCUAAGUGGGAAAGGAUGUGGAGUCGCACAGACAACCAGGAGGUUGGCUUAGAAGCAGCCACCCUUGAAAGAGUGCGUAAUAGCUCACUGGUCUAGUGAUUCCGCGCCGACAAUGUAGCGGGGCUCAAGCGUACCGCCGAAGUCGUGUCAUUCAUACAAUAGGGCCAACGCCUGUAUGGAUGGGUAGGGGAGCGUCGUGUGCCGGGUGAAGCAGCCGCGGAAGCGAGUUGUGGACGGUUCACGAGUGAGAAUGCAGGCAUGAGUAGCGAUACAAACGUGAGAAACGUUUGCGCCGAUUGACUAAGGGUUCCUGGGUCAAGCUGAUCUGCCCAGGGUAAGUCGGGACCUAAGGCGAGGCCGACAGGCGUAGUCGAUGGAUAACCGGUUGAUAUUCCGGUACCCGCUGUGAAGCGUCAAACAUCGAGCAUCGUGAUGCUAAGGCCGUGAAGCCGCCCUGAUCUCUUCGGAGUUGAGGGGAGUGGUGGAGCCGCCGGACCAAGCGGUUAGUAGGUGAGUGAUGGGGUGACGCAGGAAGGUAGUCCAUCCCGGGCGGUGGUUGUCCCGGGGUAAGGGUGUAGGACGUCAGGUAGGUAAAUCCGCCUGGCAAUAGUCUGAGACCUGAUGCCGAGCCGAUUGUGGUGAAGUGGAUGAUCCUAUGCUGUCGAGAAAAGCCUCUAGCGAGUUUCAUGGCGGCCCGUACCCUAAACCGACUCAGGUGGUCAGGUAGAGAAUACCGAGGCGUUCGGGUGAACUAUGGUUAAGGAACUCGGCAAAAUGCCCCCGUAACUUCGGGAGAAGGGGGGCCACACCUGGUGAUGAUCUUUACGGUCUGAGCUGGGGGUGGCCGCAGAGACCAGCGAGAAGCGACUGUUUACUAAAAACACAGGUCCGUGCGAAGCCGUAAGGCGAUGUAUACGGACUGACGCCUGCCCGGUGCUGGAACGUUAAGGGGACCGGUUAGCUCCAUUUCGGUGGGGCGAAGCUGAGAACUUAAGCGCCAGUAAACGGCGGUGGUAACUAUAACCAUCCUAAGGUAGCGAAAUUCCUUGUCGGGUAAGUUCCGACCUGCACGAAUGGCGUAACGACUUCUCGACUGUCUCAACCAUAGGCCCGGUGAAAUUGCACUACGAGUAAAGAUGCUCGUUUCGCGCAGCAGGACGGAAAGACCCCGGGACCUUUACUACAGUUUGAUAUUGGUGUUCGGUUCGGCUUGUGUAGGAUAGCUGGGAGACUUUGAAGCUCGCACGCCAGUGUGGGUGGAGUCGUCGUUGAAAUACCAGUCUGGUCGUGCUGGAUGUCUAACCUGGGUCCGUGAUCCGGAUCAGGGACAGUGUCUGAUGGGUAGUUUAACUGGGGCGGUUGCCUCCUAAAGAGUAACGGAGGCGCCCAAAGGUUCCCUCAGCCUGGUUGGCAAUCAGGUGUUGAGUGUAAGUGCACAAGGGAGCUUGACUGUGAGACCGACGGGUCGAGCAGGGACGAAAGUCGGGACUAGUGAUCCGGCGGUGGCUUGUGGAAGCGCCGUCGCUCAACGGAUAAAAGGUACCCCGGGGAUAACAGGCUGAUCUUCCCCAAGAGUCCAUAUCGACGGGAUGGUUUGGCACCUCGAUGUCGGCUCGUCGCAUCCUGGGGCUGGAGUCGGUCCCAAGGGUUGGGCUGUUCGCCCAUUAAAGCGGUACGCGAGCUGGGUUUAGAACGUCGUGAGACAGUUCGGUCCCUAUCCGCUGUGCGCGUAGGAGUCUUGAGAAGGGCUGUCCCUAGUACGAGAGGACCGGGACGGACGAACCUCUGGUGUGCCAGUUGUCCUGCCAAGGGCAUGGCUGGUUGGCUACGUUCGGGAGGGAUAACCGCUGAAAGCAUCUAAGCGGGAAGCCUGCUUCGAGAUGAGGACUCCCACCCCCUUGAGGGGUUAAGGCUCCCAGUAGACGACUGGGUUGAUAGGCCGGAUCUGGAAGCACCGCAAGGUGUGGAGGUGACCGGUACUAAUAGGCCGAGGGCUUGUCCUCAGUUG